This 490-nucleotide ribosomal RNA is filed under the name uncultured bacterium. Its description in RNAcentral is "partial 16S ribosomal RNA". It matches the Rfam family "Bacterial small subunit ribosomal RNA", at positions 30 to 507 of the family's 1533-position model. The record is from RNAcentral.
AUUGAACGCUGGCGGCAGGCCUAACACAUGCAAGUCGAACGGUAACAGGAAGAAGCUUGCUUCUUUGCUGACGAGUGGCGGGCGGGUGAGUCAUGUCUGGGAAACUGCCUGAUGGAGGGGGAUAACUACUGGAAACGGUAGCUAAUACCGCAUAACGUCGCAAGACCAAAGAGGGGGGCCUUCGGGCCUCUUGCCAUCGGGUGUGCCCAGAUGGGAUUAGCUAGUGGGUGGGGUUACGACUCCCCUAGGCGACGAUCCCUAGCUGGUCUGAGAGGAUGACCGGCCACACUGGAACUGAGACACGGUCCAGACUCCUACGGGAGGGAGCAGUGGGGAAUAUUGCACAAUGGGCGCAAGCCUGAUGCAGCCAUGCCGCGUGUAUGAAGAAGGCCUUCGGGUUGUAAAGUACUUUCAGCGGGGAGGAAGGGAGUAAAGUUAAUACCUUUGCUCAUUGACGUUACCCGCAGAAGAAGCACCGGCUAACUACGUG